GCCAGCCUCUCCAUGUUGGUUCCAUCGGUGGGGGACACCAACUCCUUGAGCCGAACCAAUAUCACCCGAGCCAAAU
Vitis vinifera (wine grape) is the source of this 76-nucleotide non-coding RNA. Lineage: Eukaryota; Viridiplantae; Streptophyta; Magnoliopsida; Vitales; Vitaceae. The record is from RefSeq and is marked provisional.